RNAcentral lists this ribosomal RNA (852 nucleotides) under uncultured archaeon. Its description in RNAcentral is "bacterial SSU rRNA". It matches the Rfam family "Archaeal small subunit ribosomal RNA", at positions 18 to 873 of the family's 1478-position model. The record is from RNAcentral.
CGGAGGCUACCGCUAUUGGARUUCGAUUAAGCCAUSCGAGGUCGAGAGUCUUAGGGACUCGGCGUWCCGCUCAGUAACACGUGGGUAACCUGCCCUAUGCUGGGGAAUAACCUCGGGAAAMUGAGAAUAAUGCCCCAUAGUCCACAAUGCCUGGAACGGUUUGUGGAUCAAAGCUCCGGCGGGCAUAGGAUGGGCCUGCGGCGUAUCAGGUUGUAGGGGGUGUAACGUACCCUCUAGCCAUCAACGCGUACGGGUGUUGGGAGACAUAGCCCGGAGAUGGAUUCUGAGACACGAAUCCAGACCCUACGGGGUGCAGCAGGCGCGAAAACUUGGCAAUGCGAGAAAUCGUGACCAGGGAACUCCAAGUGGCUGGGGUAAGACCCAGUCUUUUCUUGACUCUUCAAAGGUCUUGGAAUAAGGGGUGGGUAAGGACGGUGCCAGCCGCCGCGGUAAUACCGGCGCCUCAAGUGGUAGUCGAUUUUAUUGGGCCUAAAACGUCCGUAGCCUGUUUGGUACAUUCGUGGGUAAAUCAACCAGCUCAACUGGUUGAAUUCUGCGAGCACGGCCAGACUUGGGACCGGGAGAGGUGUGGGGUACGCUCAGGGUAGGGGUAAAAUCCUGUCAUCCUGAGCGGACCACCUGUUGCGAAGGCGCCACACUAGAACGGAUCCGACGGUCAGGGACGAAGCCUAGGGGCACGAACCGGAUUAGAUACCCGGGUAGUCCUAGGUGUAAACGCUGUGGACUUGGUGUUGGGGACUCUCCGAGAAUCCUCAGUGCCGAAGCGAAGGUGAUAAGUCCACUGCCUGGGGAGUACRGWCGCAAGGCUGAAACUUAAAGGAAUUGGCGGGG